UCCAUGGCCAGGCACUUUUUAAGAUAAUUUACAUAAAUUUUAAAAGUAGUAUUAGUAAAAAAAGAAUAAUAUUUUAAUUUAUAAAACAUUACUCUCAUUUUAUAAAUUAGAAAACUCAGGCCAGGCGCAAUGGCUCAUGCUUGUAAUCCCAACACCUUGGGAGGCCGAGGUGGGCAGAUCACAAGGUCAGGAGUUCGAGACCAGCCUGACUAAACUGUUUUUAGUUUCUACUAAAAAUACAAAAAUUAGCCAGGCAUGAUAUCAUGCGUGCCUGUAGUCCCAGCUACUCGGGAAAAGAAAAAGAAAAAAGAGAGAAAAAAAAAGAAAACUGAGGCACAGAGAGAUUCAGUACCUUGCCCAAGAGUGCCCAAGUAUUUGUGUACAUGACUGAGUCAGGCUGUGUGACUCCAAGGUGAGUAACCUAUGCCAGUUACUGGGAAUGGGCUGAAAGGGUUUGCAAAGGAAGCUGAAGACCAUUCUCACCCUGCCCUGGGGGAAUCAUGGAAUGGUGCCAAAUAGAAAAGGCAAGUUUAGGCUGUUCUAGGUUUCCCCUUCCAGAAAUGACGUUGGCCUAAAACCAUGGUCGUCAAAUGUUUUUGUUCUUAUAUUUUGUAAGAGACUUGAAAAACCAUGUACCCCCUUGUACGUUUUAAAGUUAGCAACUGACAUUUUUCAUUGUAAGUUUAAAGAGCUGUAAGAUAGAAUUACUGGCUUUUUGUGAUUAAUAUAAUAAAACUAUGAAAGCACUUUGUUUUGUUUUUUGGAGAAGGAGUCUCACUCUGUUGCCUAGGCUGGAGUGCAAUGGCAUGAUCUCGGCUCACCGCAACCUCCGCCUCCCAGGUUCAAGCGAUUCUCCUGCCUCAGCUUCCUGGCUAAUUUUUGUAUUUUUAGUAGAGACGGGGUUCCACCUGGCUGGCCAGGCUGGUCUUGAACUCCUGACCUCAGGCGAUCUGCCCGCCUCGACCUCCCAAAGUGCUGGGAUUACAGGCUUGAGUCACUGAGCCCAGCCGAAAGCACCCUUUUAAAGGAAUCUACAGGAAUAUAAAUAUAGUAAUUUGAUAUUACCAUCAUCAAUUUAGAAAAUUCAUGACUACACUUUUUUUUUUAAAUUUUUAUCUUUAUAUAUUUAUUUGAGACAAGGUCUUGCUCUGUUGUCCAGCCUAGAGAGCAGUGGCACAUCACAGCUCACUGCAGUCUCAAACUUCUGGGCUCAAGCCAUCCUCCCAGCUCUCAUAUCACACUCUUUAAUUUUACAUUAUUUCUUUUUUUUUUUUUUGAAAUCAUAUUUUGAAUCCAUUUCUAUGUAAUCUUGUACUAAUAUAAUUAGUGAUUAAAAACAUUUUAUGGCCGGGCACAGUGACUCGUGCCUGUAAUCUCAACACUUUGAGAGGCCGAGGUGGGCAGACCACCUGAGAUCGGGAGUUCGAGACCAGCCUGACCAACAUGGAGAAACCCCGUCUCUACUAAAAAUACAAAAUUAGCCGGGCAUGGUGGUGCAUUCCUGUAAUCCCAGCUACUCGGGAGGCUGAGGCAGGAGAAUCGCUUGAACCCAGGAGGCGGAGGUUGCAGUGAGCCGAGAUCGUGCCAUCGCACUCCAGCCUGGGGGACAAGAGUGAGACUUCGUCUCAAAAAAAAAAAUUUGGAAUUGUCCCUUUGAUGCCUUACAUGCUUUUUUCACCCCAGAGUAAUGCAUCAUUUGUCAGGAUUAGGGAAGAGUAAGAGAUAAACUUUUUUUGAUAAAGUGAGAAGAGGGCAAUUGAGAAAAUGAGAUGGGAAAAGAAAAUCAGGGCUGCAGAUGUCCUCUGGGGCGCAUCAAAUUGAGGAUCUAGAAAUUGAUUUCUUUGAAACUAACCACUGCCCUGUACUCCUUGGAAAGUAUUUACAUACCUACCCUAACCACUACUGGCAGCCCUAAUGAUCUCCAUGUUAAAUGUGUUUCUCCCAGCCACACCUGCCCAGAGGGAGAAACUGGGUCAUGGUAGCAGUAACCAAGCAGUGCUCUUUGUUCCUUACCCCACCAGAUUUACACAACCUAUAACCCUCUCAGUGAUCUUCUGAGUCAUUCUGGAGUCUCUGGGGGUAGAUUUCAUAUGCUCACUAAUUGGUCUUCUUGGCCUCUUGGUGGUUUCUGCUCAUUUCAUUCAUCUCCUAUAGCUUGGCACAGUAGAACUGCUAGCCUCUUAGCUGCCAGAGCCAAACAGACUGUUCCAUGUGAGAAAACCAACCUCCAGAUUCCUGGGGCGUUUCUGGUGUAGUGACCUUCCAGAGGGAAAUCUACCCCUACUCCUAUCCAGUACUCUUCCCUGCCAUGAGGGGAUUUAGAAGGGAAAGCACUCCCUGCUGACAGUUCUUACAGGGGUUUGUGAAACAAAUAAUCCCAUUUGGUCACCCUUUUGGUUGAGAAGUGGUGAUAAAUGCUCGAAGUGGUCUGAAGUGCCAGGUGCUAUAAAAGAACAGAAAGGGGCCUGUGAUCCCUGACUGCACUUUAUAUUUCAGCAUUACCCACUAUUUUUUCAUAUCCCACGACUCAAGAUUCCCUCUCAAGUCUUUGCUCUUUGAUCUCCUUGAUGAACUCACAUUCACCCUUCAAAUCUCAUCUCAAUCCCUUCUUUCAGGAUGUGUUCCCAUUCCGCUAAUGCCCUUGAGGGUUUUCUGCUAUCUCCAUGCUUUUACUACAUUUUGGUUUAUUUGCUCUUACUAUAUAUUUUCUUGUUAGUCUUUGUAUCCAGUUAAACUAUGGGCUCCUGAGGGUGUUGGGACUCAGGAGAUACCACAUUUAAGUAUGACUGUAGGAGACAGAAAUAUGCCACCCCAAAACAUGCCUUUUUGGCAUAUUAAUAAUUUCCGGCUGGUUAUUUUGAGAAAUUGCAGACAUAGGAGUAGCUUUGGAAAGUUACUCUUGUAAGAGAAAUGUGCAGUUGACCCUUGAACAACAUGGGUUUGAACUGCACAGGUCCACUUAUACUCAGAUUUUUUCUUUUUUUUGAGACAAAGUCUCACUCUGUCACCCAGGCUGGAGUGCAGUGGCACGAUCUUGGCUCACUGCAACCUCCACUUCCUGGGUUCAAGCGAUUAUCCUGCCUCAGCCUCCUGAGUAGCUGGGAUUACUGGUAUGCACCACUACACUGGCUAAUUUUUUU
RNAcentral lists this long non-coding RNA (3140 nucleotides) under Homo sapiens (human). RNAcentral describes it as "non-protein coding lnc-LRIG2-5:1". Lineage: Eukaryota; Metazoa; Chordata; Mammalia; Primates; Hominidae. The record is from RNAcentral.